UACGUAGGUGGCAAGCGUUGUCCGGAUUUACUGGGCGUAAAGAGCGCGCAGGCGGUCGUUCAAGUCGCGUGUGAAAGCCCCCGGCUCAACUGGGGAGGGUCACGCGAUACUGAUCGACUCGAAGGCAGGAGAGGGUAGUGGAAUUCCCGGUGUAGUGGUGAAAUGCGUAGAUAUCGGGAGGAAUACCAGUGGCGAAGGCGGCUUCCUGGCCUGUUCUUGACGCUGAGGAGCGAAAGCGUGGGGAGCGAACAGG
RNAcentral lists this ribosomal RNA (253 nucleotides) under uncultured bacterium. RNAcentral describes it as "partial 16S ribosomal RNA". It matches the Rfam family "Bacterial small subunit ribosomal RNA", at positions 524 to 776 of the family's 1533-position model. The record is from RNAcentral.